This 253-nucleotide ribosomal RNA is filed under the name uncultured bacterium. Its description in RNAcentral is "partial 16S ribosomal RNA". It matches the Rfam family "Bacterial small subunit ribosomal RNA", at positions 524 to 776 of the family's 1533-position model. The record is from RNAcentral.
UACGUAGGUGGCAAGCGUUAUCCGGAUUUACUGGGUGUAAAGGGAGCGCAGGCGGCUUUGCAAGUCUGAUGUGAAAGGCCGGGGCUCAACCCCGGGACUGCAUUGGAAACUGUAAAGCUAGAGUGCCGGAGAGGUAAGCGGAAUUCCUAGUGUAGCGGUGAAAUGCGUAGAUAUUAGGAGGAACACCAGUGGCGAAGGCGGCUUACUGGACGGCAACUGACGCUGAGGCUCGAAAGCGUGGGGAGCAAACAGG